AUCUACAUAAUUUGGCUUGUUUUGGAAGGAGCAAUUAUACGUAUAUGUGUGCCAUCAACGCAGCCAAUGGCGCAGGGAAAACACGCAAUUUGAUACAUCCCAGUACAAAUAGCAUUUUUUCCCUCAUUUGUUGAUGGGAAAUUGAUGUAGUCUGCGUGCUUAGAAGCCAAUGCAAGUGCGACUUUACGCACUACUCUCGAAACAGUGGCUUUAUCAUAACCGUGAGUAUCGCCAAUGACUUGCAAAAAGCUCCAGGACGCAAAGACACGAAGAGCAAUGACCAAUUGCUCUUCGGUUGACAAGGCUUUGUUACGGUUUGUUGUUGGCCGUACAUCAUUUGCAAUUAAUCGUGAGAUAUGCUGCAACGAUUCUCGGCCAAAUCUGUACCGUUUUCGGAGGUCAUUGUCGGAAAAACCAUGCCAUGGAAGAUGUCGAUUAAAAACUCGAGGUGGGGAAAAUGCAUUUCCUACGUUUAAAAAUUGUUUGUUGUUGUUGUGCAUUGGUUUUGUAAAGAAUGUCGAAGACAGAAAAAGAAGAGCUCAGUGAUUAUGAACUCCAAAGACUUGCUAAAAUCAAACAAAACCUUGAUUUCCUCGAGAAUUUGGGCAAGUGCAUUUUAGCCUUCAUUCGUGAAGCCCAAUGUGUUUAUGUUGGUAUAUUUUUGCGUUUAUAAAGGUAUUGAAGUGGACAGGCCUGCAUAUCUUCCGAAGCAACGAACAAAGAAGAGAAAAAUUGACGAAGACAGUAGCAGUGAUGAAGAAUGGUUACCUGGAAAAGAUGAAAAUUUUUUGCUAAAGAAAGUAAAGCCAAUCUUUAAAUCAACAUUUAGAAGCAGUUCCGUCACCAAGAAAUCUUCAAAUAAACAGGCUUCUUCGAAAAAUUUUGUGCUCCUUCAACCUCGU
Molecule: long non-coding RNA, 902 nt
Organism: Xenia sp. Carnegie-2017
Lineage: Eukaryota; Metazoa; Cnidaria; Anthozoa; Malacalcyonacea; Xeniidae
Exons: 4
Source: RefSeq, a predicted model, not a curated record